This 320-nucleotide ribosomal RNA is filed under the name uncultured eukaryote. RNAcentral's name for it is "partial 18S ribosomal RNA". It matches the Rfam family "Eukaryotic small subunit ribosomal RNA", at positions 1470 to 1796 of the family's 1831-position model. The record is from RNAcentral.
CCCUUAGAUGUUCUGGGCCGCACGCGCGCUACACUGACGAAUGCAACGAGCUUAUAACCUUGGCCGAAAGGUCUGGGUAAUCUCCAAAUUUCGUCGUGAUGGGGAUAGAUUAUUGCAAUUAUUAAUCUUCAACGAGGAAUGCCUAGUAAGCGCAAGUCAUCGGCUUGCGUUGAUUACGUCCCUGCCCUUUGUACACACCGCCCGUCGCUCCUACCGAUUGAAUGGUCCGGUGAAAUCUCGGGACGGCGGCUUGGUCGCUUGCGUCCGACUGCUGAAACUUGAUUAAACCAUAUCAUUUAGAGGAAGGUGAAGUCGUAACA